CUUGCUCUUAUGAAGUUAGCGGCGGACGGGUGAGUAACACGUGGGUAACCUGCCCAUAAGACUGGGAUAACUCCGGGAAACCGGGGCUAAUACCGGAUAAUAUUUUGAACUGCAUGGUUCGAAAUUGAAAGGCGGCUUCGGCUGUCACUUAUGGAUGGACCCGCGUCGCAUUAGCUAGUUGGUGAGGUAACGGCUCACCAAGGCAACGAUGCGUAGCCGACCUGAGAGGGUGAUCGGCCACACUGGGACUGAGACACGGCCCAGACUCCUACGGGAGGCAGCAGUAGGGAAUCUUCCGCAAUGGACGAAAGUCUGACGGAGCAACGCCGCGUGAGUGAUGAAGGCUUUCGGGUCGUAAAACUCUGUUGUUAGGGAAGAACAAGUGCUAGUUGAAUAAGCUGGCACCUUGACGGUACCUAACCAGAAAGCCACGGCUAACUACGUGCCAGCAG
RNAcentral lists this ribosomal RNA (452 nucleotides) under Bacillus anthracis (anthrax bacterium). RNAcentral's name for it is "bacterial SSU rRNA". It matches the Rfam family "Bacterial small subunit ribosomal RNA", at positions 75 to 514 of the family's 1533-position model. The record is from RNAcentral. Lineage: Bacteria; Bacillati; Bacillota; Bacilli; Caryophanales; Bacillaceae.